AAUGAACGUUGGCGGCGUGGAUUAGGCAUGCAAGUCGAGCGCGAAUCAGUCUUCGGACUGAGGAGAGCGGCGAACGGGGUAGGAAUACCUCGGUGACGUACCCCCGGGUCGGGGAUAGCGGCGGGAAACUGCCGGUAAUACCCGAUAAUCUUCCCAAGUCUUACGGCAGGGGAAGCAAAGGUGUGAUUCCGUCUGGGGAGCGGCUGAGGUCGUAUUAGCUGGUUGGUGAGGUAAUGGCUCACCAAGGCGAUGAUGCGUAGGGGGUGUGAGAGCAUGGCCCCCACCACUGGCACUGAGACACUGGCCAGACACCUACGGGUGGCUGCAGUCGAGAAUCUUCGGCAAUGGGCGCAAGCCUGACCGAGCGACGCCGCGCGCGGGAUGAAGGUCUUCGGAUUGUAAACCGCUGUCGGAGGGGAUGAAAUGCAUGGGGGAACUCCCCUGU
This 445-nucleotide ribosomal RNA is filed under the name uncultured bacterium. RNAcentral describes it as "bacterial SSU rRNA". It matches the Rfam family "Bacterial small subunit ribosomal RNA", at positions 28 to 472 of the family's 1533-position model. The record is from RNAcentral.